Molecule: ribosomal RNA, 292 nt
Filed under: uncultured bacterium
Lineage: Bacteria
Description: partial 16S ribosomal RNA
Rfam family: Bacterial small subunit ribosomal RNA
Source: RNAcentral
GUGCCAGCCGCCGCGGUAAUACGUAGGGUGCGAGCGUUAAUCGGAAUUACUGGGCGUAAAGCGUGCGCAGGCGGUUUUGUAAGACAGACGUGAAAUCCCCGGGCUUAACCUGGGAACUGCGUUUGUGACUGCAAGGCUAGAGUGUGGCAGAGGGGGGUAGAAUUCCACGUGUAGCAGUGAAAUGCGUAGAUAUGUGGAGGAAUACCGAUGGCGAAGGCAGCCCCCUGGGUCAACACUGACGCUCAUGCACGAAAGCGUGGGGAGCAAACAGGAUUAGAUACCCUCGUAGUCC